CCGGUGCCGGUGGUGGGGCAAACCUCAGCGAGGACGCUGAGUCCCUACGGGGGGUGAGUGUAGGGACGGCGAUACGUAACGCCUGCAUUCACUUAGGCAAAUCCCACAUCGGUAGUGAAGGGGAACGAAGUGUGCCUUAUAGGUGCAUGGAUACCUUCCACGUAUGCGAUGCGUUUUAAAACCGUGAGGGGCCGAGGCUCCAAAGCGGACAAUUUCGCAUGCGCCGGUGGCCUGGGCUGUUACAAUAGGCAGAGGGGGACUUUCCUAAAAAGCCUAAUAGCAAUUAACCACAUUGGAAAUGACGAAUCACACUCUGAAAGGAGGUUCCCUCCCAACAAAUGUCAAGAGGGAGCAAGGCGUGAUUGCUUUGUUGUCCUCCGACCGCCCCUCUUUCCACCUCUAAGUAGUGGUGUUGGUGUGUCUCGUUGCAAUCAUUCUGGUCAAUCCCUUUCCUGAACCAUAGGGAAGGGAUGACAGGAGAUGGCCCCUAUAGCAAAAUAAACCAACCCCUCAUUUGAAAGAGUAAAUAGAAUAGUGUCAGGAUUACGACAAUCUGACUUUUGAAUGACUAAGAAACUACUAAGAUCCCGCCCACCCCCAACCAAUUAGGGUAAAGUGUUCAUUCAUACCUUCAACAGCACUAAUAUAUUGUCCCAUGACCAUGUUUACUUCAUCUUCAAGAGCAAGCAUCCUAGCUCUUAGGGCCUCGGGCAACCCUGGAUCCUUACCUACUUCCUUAGUGAUUCCAAGAAGAUGCUUCAACCUCGUUAAGUUUUAGUUGGAUAUCACGGCCCAAUAAAUAUUUCCAAUUCCAUUUUGUAAUAUUUUCAUUCGGGAAUGGAACGACCUAUGUUGUUAGGGAGGAGAGAAGGUGAACCAGCUUUCUUUGGUCGGCUCUCCCGUCUAGUUAAGUAGUUUUUUCUCCUUCCUACUUAAUUUAUUAUAAUAUAAUCUUAAGCUGCUACGUGGCCUAUUGGGAGCUUUUUAGUCAUAGUGGGAGCUUUCAAAAAUCACUUAGCAGGUCAAGAUUAUAGGAAGAGGGAAGAACAAGGGAGAAGAUCUUAUUUAAAAGAAGACGAUUCCAAAAGAAAGUCAAAACGGGGAAUAGAGUGCCUUAAAGGUAAAUAAGAAAGAUCCUAAAUAAAAAAUAAAAUACCUACUAAACCAAUUACAAGAAUACCAGUUACAGUACCUAUUAUCCAAAGAGGAAUCCUUCCAGUAGUAUCGGCCAUUUACCUCACUUCCCUCCAGAUUUCAUCAAGUGGUCAUGCUAGAGACAUAAACAGCCUUGGAUAAUUAAAUUAUGAGAUCCUUCCGAACGAGCUAAGAGAAUCUUAUUUAUUCUCUUUCAUUUUGAUAAUUGAAGAAAUAAUUGGAAAAUAAAAAAGCAAGUACAAAAAUGAGUAAUAACCCCCAGUAGACACUGGUACGAUGAAAUUCAACAUUUUGUUCGUUCGGGUUUGAUUGUGUCGUAGAUCUAUAGUUCGGAUGUUCUUUAUCAUUAGAUGAACUACUGAUAUUGAUCCCCAAAAAAACACGGUAGGUACAGCUAGGCCGUGAACAGCCAACCAUCGUACUGUAAAAAUGAGAUAGGUUCAAUCUAUAGUCACUAGGGCCUCCUAAAAUGAUCUACUAAAUUCAUCGAGUUUUUCUAAAGGAUCAAAAUGGCCAGUUAUUAAUGAAAUUCCUUGUCAGAUAAGUUUUGACCCGCACAAAAGGCAUAACGAUCUGGGAACUAUCUCGGAGAGAGGCUCGAUGAAAUAGACAUGUCUAUGAAGAUGUGGACUACCUGCACCUGUACAGAAAGAACCUAUGAAGCUUCGCUAUUCCCUGGGAUUGGAUUUGGUCCUUUCCUGCGCAGCUUAGGUGGAAGGCAAAGAAGACCUCCUUUUGGGGGGGACCAAGCCAUCAGUGAGAUACCACUCUGGAAGGGCUAGAAUUCUAACCUUACGUCAGGACCUACGGGACAAGGGACAGUCUCAGGUAGAUAGUUUCUAUAGGGUGUAGGCCUCCUAAAAGGUAACGGAGGCGUGCAAAGAUUUCCUCGGGCCAGACGAAGAUUGGCCCUCGAGUGCAAAGACAGAAAGAAGCUUGACUGCAAGACCCACCCGUCGAGCAGGGAUGAAAGUUGGCCUUAUUGAUUCGACGGUGCCGAGUAGAAGGGUCGUUGCUUAAUGGAGAAAAGUUACUCUAGGGAUAACAGGCUAUCUUCCCCAAGAGCUCACAUCGAUGGGAAGGUUUGGAACCUCGUUGUCAGAUCUUUUCCACCUGGGGCUGUAGUAUGUUCCAAGGGUUGGGUUAUUCGCCCAUUAAAGCGAUACGUAAGAUGGAUUUAGAAUGACGUGAGACAGUUUAGUCUAUAUCUAAUGUGGGCGUUAGAUCAUAGAGAGGACAUUUCCCUAGUACGAGAGAACCAAGAAGGACACACCUCUAGUGUACCAGUUAUCAUACCCAUGGUAAAUACUGGGUGGCCAAGUACAGAGCGGAUAACUGUUGAAGGCAUCUAAGUAGUAAUCCCACCCCAAGAUGAGUGAUCUCCUAUUCCGACUUUCCCAGAGUUUCCGGUAGCAUAGCCGAGACAGUGAUGGGUUCUCUACCCCUGCGGAGAUGGAGCGACAGAAGUUUUUUUGAGAAUUCAAGAGAAGGUCACAGUGAGAUGAGCUACUUAUCAUUACGAUAGGUGUCAAGUAGAAGUGCAGUGAUGUAUGCAGCUGAGGCAUCCUAAUAGACCGGUAGACUUGAAC
This 2744-nucleotide ribosomal RNA is filed under the name Capsicum baccatum. RNAcentral's name for it is "bacterial LSU rRNA". The stretch from base 1768 to 2733 matches the Rfam family "Bacterial large subunit ribosomal RNA", at positions 2048 to 2912 of the family's 2925-position model. The record is from RNAcentral. Lineage: Eukaryota; Viridiplantae; Streptophyta; Magnoliopsida; Solanales; Solanaceae.